Molecule: long non-coding RNA, 641 nt
Organism: Apus apus (common swift)
Lineage: Eukaryota; Metazoa; Chordata; Aves; Apodiformes; Apodidae
Exons: 4
Source: RefSeq, a predicted model, not a curated record
CUUGUUAUGGACCCAUGUCCUGGUUCUUCUUCUUAAGGGAAUUAUUUUGGCUGCCCUAGCUGACUGCAUGCAAAGUCAGGGAUUCAUCUCUGUAGUUAUCUAUGGAGUGGCAAGUAUAUGAUAUGUAUCCCAGAAGCGAGUUUGCAGACUGCCUGGAAGUACUGAAAGAGCAACACCUCAUCUUGCAUGGAGCAGGAUCCGAGCCUUUACCGAAUGCUGAGGAAUAAGAAAGCAGAGUCCUCUGUUUGUCACAGGUGCUGCAAUGGAGACAUGCCUUAGAACGGCUGUUUCUGACCAUUUUUUUUGUGCUUUUGGAUGAGUACUCCAGGAAAAUACACUGCUCUGCUUUCUGUCAGAGAUCUCAGAUGAACAAAUUUAAACAGAUGGUAUGGAUAUUGCACAGUUUAAAUAUUAGCUGUAUGUUACAAAUGACGAAGAAAGGACUAUACAAAAGGAUAAGAAGAUAAAGCCUAUAGAUUGUUCAAAAACAUGAAUUAUGUAUGCCAUGCAGAUAAAUUCCUUGUCAUUGUCAGGUUCAAAAUUUUAUCUGUUGUUUUACAAUUAGAUCUACCCAGGAAAAAAUGUGUUCAGUGCUAUCCUAGUUGUAACUAUGAAAGACUUGAUGGUUUGAUCACAAAGUA